UGGGGAAUAUUGGGCAAUGGGCGCAAGCCUGACCCAGCGACGCCGCGUGGGUGAUGAAGGCCUUCGGGUCGUAAAGCCCUGUCGGGUGGAAAGAACGAGGGGGGCGCGAAUAGCGCUUCUCUAUGACGGUACCACCGAAGGAAGCACCGGCCAAUUCCGUGCCAGCAGCCGCGGUAAGACGGAAGGUGCAAGCGUUGCUCGGAAUCACUGGGCGUAAAGGGUGCGUAGGCGGCUUGGUGGGUCUGGUGUGAAAGCCCCGGGCUCAGCCCGGGAAGGGCGCUAGAAACUGCCGAGCUCGAGUGCCGGAGGGGAGAGUGGAAUUCCUGGUGUAGCGGUGAAAUGCGUAGAUAUCAGGAGGAAUACCGGUGGCGAAAGCGACUCUCUGGACGGUAACUGACGCUGAGGCACGAAAGCGUGGGGAGCAAACAG
This 429-nucleotide ribosomal RNA is filed under the name uncultured bacterium. Its description in RNAcentral is "bacterial SSU rRNA". It matches the Rfam family "Bacterial small subunit ribosomal RNA", at positions 355 to 775 of the family's 1533-position model. The record is from RNAcentral.